RNAcentral lists this transfer RNA (72 nucleotides) under Camelus ferus (Wild Bactrian camel). It matches the Rfam family "tRNA". From Rfam's summary of the family: Transfer RNA (tRNA) molecules are approximately 80 nucleotides in length. Their secondary structure includes four short double-helical elements and three loops (D, anti-codon, and T loops). Further hydrogen bonds mediate the characteristic L-shaped molecular structure. tRNAs have two regions of fundamental functional importance: the anti-codon, which is responsible for specific mRNA codon recognition, and the 3' end, to which the tRNAs corresponding amino acid is attached (by aminoacyl-tRNA synthetases). tRNAs cope with the degeneracy of the genetic code in two manners: having more than one tRNA (with a specific anti-codon) for a particular amino acid; and 'wobble' base-pairing, i.e. permitting non-standard base-pairing at the 3rd anti-codon position. The record is from Rfam by way of RNAcentral. Lineage: Eukaryota; Metazoa; Chordata; Mammalia; Artiodactyla; Camelidae.
GAGGGUACAGCUCAGUGGUAGAGCGCCUGCUUAGCAUGCAUGAGGUCCUGAGUUCAAUCCCCAGUACUGCCA